RNAcentral lists this ribosomal RNA (472 nucleotides) under uncultured bacterium. Its description in RNAcentral is "partial 16S ribosomal RNA". It matches the Rfam family "Bacterial small subunit ribosomal RNA", at positions 28 to 507 of the family's 1533-position model. The record is from RNAcentral.
GACGAACGCUGGCGGCGUGCUUAACACAUGCAAGUCGAACGCUGAAGCUUGGUGCUUGCACUGGGUGGAUGAGUGGCGAACGGGUGAGUAAUACGUGAGUAACCUGCCCUUGACUCUGGGAUAAGCCUGGGAAACUGGGUCUAAUACUGGAUACGACAUGUCACCGCAUGGUGGUGUGUGGAAAGGGUUUUACUGGUUUUGGAUGGGCUCACGGCCUAUCAGCUUGUUGGUGGGGUAAUGGCUCACCAAGGCGACGACGGGUAGCCGGCCUGAGAGGGUGACCGGCCACACUGGGACUGAGACACGGCCCAGACUCCUACGGGGGGCAGCAGUGGGGAAUAUUGCACAAUGGGCGGAAGCCUGAUGCAGCGACGCCGCGUGAGGGAUGACGGCCUUCGGGUUGUAAACCUCUUUCAGCACGGAAGAAGCGAAAGUGACGGUACGUGCAGAAGAAGCGCCGGCUAACUACGUG